UAGUCUGGUGCCAGCAGCCGCGGUAAUACGGAGGAUGCAAGCGUUAUCCGGAAUCAUUGGGCGUAAAGCGUCCGCAGGUGGUUUCCAAAGUCUGCUGUUAAAGACUGGAGCUCAACUCCGGAACGGCGGUGGAAACUUGGAAACUAGAGUUCGGUAGGGGUAGCAGGAAUUCCCAGUGUAGCGGUGAAAUGCGUAGAUAUUGGGAAGAACAUCGGUGGCGAAGGCGUGCUACUGGACCGUAACUGACACUCAGGGACGAAAGCUAGGGGAGCGAAAGGGAUUAGAUACCCCUGUAGUCCUAGCUGUAAACGAUGGAAACUAGGUGUGGCUUGUAUCGACCCGAGCCGUGCCGUAGCUAACGCGUUAAGUUUCCCGCCUGGGGAGUACGCACGCAAGUGUGAAACUCAAAGGAAUUGACGGGGGCCCGCACAAGCGGUGGAGUAUGUGGUUUAAUUCGAUGCAACGCGAAGAACCUUACCAGGGCUUGACAUGUCGCGAAUCUCGGUGAAAGCUGAGAGUGCCUUCGGGAGCGCGAACACAGGUGGUGCAUGGCCGUUCUU
This 560-nucleotide ribosomal RNA is filed under the name Candidatus Atelocyanobacterium thalassae. RNAcentral describes it as "bacterial SSU rRNA". It matches the Rfam family "Bacterial small subunit ribosomal RNA", at positions 498 to 1056 of the family's 1533-position model. Lineage: Bacteria; Bacillati; Cyanobacteriota; Cyanophyceae; Chroococcales; Aphanothecaceae. The record is from RNAcentral.